RNAcentral lists this ribosomal RNA (519 nucleotides) under uncultured eukaryote. RNAcentral's name for it is "SSU rRNA". It matches the Rfam family "Eukaryotic small subunit ribosomal RNA", at positions 1161 to 1705 of the family's 1831-position model. The record is from RNAcentral.
AGGGCACCACCAGGAGUGGAGCCCGCGGCUUAAUUUGACUCAACACGGGGAAACUCACCCGGCCCGGACACCGUAAGGAUUGACAGAUUGAUAGCUUUUUCAUGAUUCGGUGGAUGGUGGUGCAUGGCCGUUCUUAGUUCGUGGAGCGAUUUGUCUGGUUUAUUCCGAUAACGAGCGAGACUCUAGCCUACUAAAUAGUUCGCACAUUGUCUCUGUGUGUGUGACUUCUUAGAGGGAUUUUCGGUGUUCAGCCGCACGAAAUUGAGCAAUAACAGGUCUGUGAUGCCCUUAGAUGUCCGGGGCUGCACGCGCGCUACACUGGCAAAAUCAGCGUGCUUGUCCUUCCCCGAAAGGGGUUGGUAAACCCUUGAAAAUUUGCCGUGAUUGGGAUUGGAAAUUGCAAUUAUUUUCCAUGAACGAGGAAUUCCAAGUAAGUGCGAGUCAUCAGCUCGCGUUGAUUACGUCCCUGCCCUUUGUACACACCGCCCGUCGCUGCCCGGGACUGAGCCAUUUCGAGAA